This 72-nucleotide transfer RNA is filed under the name Stegodyphus mimosarum. It matches the Rfam family "tRNA". From Rfam's summary of the family: Transfer RNA (tRNA) molecules are approximately 80 nucleotides in length. Their secondary structure includes four short double-helical elements and three loops (D, anti-codon, and T loops). Lineage: Eukaryota; Metazoa; Arthropoda; Arachnida; Araneae; Eresidae. The record is from Rfam by way of RNAcentral.
GCCUACAUGGUGUAAUGGUAGCACAUUCGGGACCUAUUCGAGAGGUCCAGGGUUCGAUUCCUUGUGAGCGCA